This 544-nucleotide ribosomal RNA is filed under the name uncultured bacterium. RNAcentral's name for it is "bacterial SSU rRNA". It matches the Rfam family "Bacterial small subunit ribosomal RNA", at positions 57 to 648 of the family's 1533-position model. The record is from RNAcentral.
GCAGUCGAGCGCUACCUUCGGGUGGAGCGGCGGACGGGUUAGCAACGCGUGGGAAUAUACCCAGUUCUAAGGAAUAGCCACUGGAAACGGUGAGUAAUACCUUAUACGCCCUUCGGGGGAAAGAUUUAUCGGAAUUGGAUUAGCCCGCGUUAGAUUAGAUAGUUGGUGGGGUAAUGGCCUACCAAGUCUACGAUCUAUAGCUGGUUUGAGAGGAUGAUCAGCCACACUGGAACUGAGACACGGUCCAGACUUCUACGGAAGGCAGCAGUAGGGAAUAUUGGACAAUGGGCGAAAGCCUGAUCCAGCAAUACCGCGUGAGUGAUGAAGGCCCAUGGGUCGUAAAACUCUUUCAACGGGGAGGAUAAUGACAGUACCCGUAAAAGAAGCUCCGGCUAAUUCCGUGCCAGCAGCCGCGGUAAGACGGGAGGAGCAAGCGUUAUUCGGAUUUACUGGGCGUAAAGCGCGUGUAGGUGGAAUGAAAAGUUGUAUGUGAAAUCCCAGGGCUUAACCUUGGAACUGCAUACAAUACUUUCAUUCUAGAGUU